AUCCGCUGGCUCAUCCCGGGGCAGGGACCACGAGCACCAGGACUAGAGUGUGUGUGUGUGUGUGAUCCUGUGCAGCGACAGCAUCCGCUGGCUCAUCCCGGGGCAGGACCACGAGCACCAGGACUAGAGUGUGUGUGUGUGUGUGUGCGUGUGUGAGCGCCUGCCUUGCAGAAUAAAUUAAGUGUGUGAAGGGA
Long non-coding RNA from Rhinichthys klamathensis goyatoka, 194 nucleotides. RefSeq lists it as uncharacterized. Lineage: Eukaryota; Metazoa; Chordata; Actinopteri; Cypriniformes; Leuciscidae. The transcript is spliced from 2 exons. The record is from RefSeq and is a predicted model, not a curated record.